RNAcentral lists this ribosomal RNA (253 nucleotides) under uncultured bacterium. RNAcentral describes it as "partial 16S ribosomal RNA". It matches the Rfam family "Bacterial small subunit ribosomal RNA", at positions 524 to 776 of the family's 1533-position model. The record is from RNAcentral.
UACGUAGGGUGCGAGCGUUGUCCGGAAUUACUGGGCGUAAAGAGCUCGUAGGUGGUUUGUCGCGUUGUUCGUGAAAACUCACAGCUCAACUGUGGGCGUGCGGGCGAUACGGGCAGACUGGAGUACUGCAGGGGAGACUGGAAUUCCUGGUGUAGCGGUGGAAUGCGCAGAUAUCAGGAGGAACACCGGUGGCGAAGGCGUGUCUCUGGGCAGUAACUGACGCUGAGGAGCGAAAGCGUGGGGAGCGAACAGG